Molecule: ribosomal RNA, 646 nt
Filed under: Ceratobasidium sp. AG-Ba
Lineage: Eukaryota; Fungi; Basidiomycota; Agaricomycetes; Cantharellales; Ceratobasidiaceae
Description: eukaryotic LSU rRNA
Rfam family: Eukaryotic large subunit ribosomal RNA
Source: RNAcentral
CAAGGAUUCCCCUAGUAACGGCGAGUGAAGCGGGAAGAGCUCAAAUUUAAAUCUGGCAGUGUAUUCUGUCCGAGUUGUAGUCUAGAGAAGCAUCAUCCGUGCUGGACCAUGUACAAGUCUCUUGAACAGAGCGUCAUAGAGGGUGAGAAUCCCGUCCUUGACAUGGACUCCCAGAUCUUUGUGUGCUCUCAACGAGUCGAGUUGUUUGGGAAUGCAUGCUCAAAAUGGGUGGUAAAUUCCAUCUAAAGCUAAAUAUUGGCGAGAGACCGAUAGCGAACAAGUACCGUGAGGGAAAGAUGAAAAGCACUUUGGAGAGAGAGUUAAACAGUACGUGAAAUUGUUGAAAUGGAAACGCUUGAAGUCAGUCGCGUUCUCUGGGAUUCAGCCUUGCUUCUGCUUGGUGCAUUUCCUAGUCUACGGGCCAGCAUGAAUUUCGACCGGUGGAAAAAGAUUUGGGGAAUGUGGCACUUCGGGUGUGUUAUAGCCCCUUGUCAGAUACAUUGGUUGGGAUUGAGGUCUUAGUGCACGCUUCGGUUGUGCUUUGAUGCUGGCGUAAUGGCUUUAAACGACCCGUCUUGAAACACGGACCAAGGAGUCUAACAUGUCUGCGAGUGUUUGGGUGGAAAACCCGAGCGCGAAAUGAAAG